GGAGGGAUGGCUGAGUGGUUUAAAGCACCGGUCUUGAAAACCGGCGUGCCGCAAGGUACCGUGGGUUCGAAUCCCACUCCCUCCGCCA
RNAcentral lists this transfer RNA (88 nucleotides) under Lentisphaerota bacterium. Its description in RNAcentral is "Lentisphaerae bacterium (anaerobic digester metagenome) tRNA-Ser". It matches the Rfam family "tRNA". Rfam says of the family: Transfer RNA (tRNA) molecules are approximately 80 nucleotides in length. Their secondary structure includes four short double-helical elements and three loops (D, anti-codon, and T loops). Lineage: Bacteria; Pseudomonadati; Lentisphaerota. RNAcentral also lists the same sequence under 1 other name. The record is from RNAcentral.